UCCCUGGAGGAUUAACGGUUAGGCCUCGGAGCUCUCACCAGCACGCCUCAGGUUCGAUUCUUGGCCAGGGAA
Molecule: non-coding RNA, 72 nt
Organism: Pangasius djambal
Lineage: Eukaryota; Metazoa; Chordata; Actinopteri; Siluriformes; Pangasiidae
Source: the annotation of a GenBank genome assembly